AUAGUGAAAUUGCUGACGUCUCAUAGAGACACAAUAUUAAACAAAAAACGGAUGGGACCACGAACGAAGCCAAAAACAAAGCUUGGAUCCAGUCUCAAAUAGUUUUAAUGCGACAGGAAACGUUUUCAGGUGGUGCGAGAAAUUGGAAAGACGUGUAAAAACAUGCUGCGACCCCAAAUUAAGAUGGGGCAGGAGGAUGAUGAUAAUGUUUGUUACAUCACAUGAGGACUAUUAUUGAA
Long non-coding RNA from Helicoverpa zea (corn earworm), 239 nucleotides. RefSeq lists it as uncharacterized. The record is from RefSeq and is a predicted model, not a curated record. The transcript has 3 exons. NCBI's taxonomy places the organism in Eukaryota, Metazoa, Arthropoda, Insecta, Lepidoptera, Noctuidae.